GCAGGGACGAAAGUCUGGACUAGUGAUCUGACGGUGGCUUGUGGAUGCGCCGUCACUCAACGGAUAAAAGGUACCCCGGGGAUAACAGGCUGAUCUUGCCCGAGCGCUCAUAGCGACGGCAUGGUUUGGCACCUCGAUGUCGGCUCUUCGCCACCUGGAGCUGUAGGUGGUUCCAAGGGUUGGGCUGUUCGCCCAUGAAAG
RNAcentral lists this ribosomal RNA (201 nucleotides) under uncultured eukaryote. RNAcentral describes it as "partial Bacterial large subunit ribosomal RNA". It matches the Rfam family "Bacterial large subunit ribosomal RNA", at positions 2393 to 2593 of the family's 2925-position model. The record is from RNAcentral.